AACGUGAUUUUUGUGGAAAUUCUUUCGGGAAUGGAAAUGAAAUGAAAGUGGCGAACGGGUGAGUAACACGUGAGCAACCUACCUUACACAGGGGGAUAGCCGUUGGAAACGACGAUUAAUACCGCAUGAGACCACAGAAUCGCAUGAUAUAGGGGUCAAAGAUUUAUCGGUGUAAGAAGGGCUCGCGUCUGAUUAGCUAGUUGGAAGGGUAAAGGCCUACCAAGGCGACGAUCAGUAGCCGGUCUGAGAGGAUGAACGGCCACAUUGGAACUGAGACACGGUCCAAACUCCUACGGGAGGCAGCAGUGGGGAAUAUUGCACAAUGGGGGGAACCCUGAUGCAGCGACGCCGCGUGAGCGAAGAAGGUUUUCGAAUCGUAAAGCUCUGUCCUAUGAGAAGAUAAUGACGGUAUCAUAGGAGGAAGCCCCGGCUAAAUACGUGCCAGCAGCCGCGGUAAUACGUAUGGGGCGAGCGUUGUCCGGAAUUAUUGGGCGUAAAGGGUACGUAGGCGGUUUUUUAAGUCAGGUGUGAAAGCGUGAGGCUUAACCUCAUUAAGCACUUGAAACUGGAAGACUGGAGUGAAGGAGAGGAAAGUGGAAUUCCUAGUGUAGCGGUGAAAUGCGUAGAUAUUAGGAGGAAUACCGGUGGCGAAGGCGACUUUCUGGACUUUUACUGACGCUCAGGUACGAAAGCGUGGGGAGCAAACAGG
Molecule: ribosomal RNA, 709 nt
Filed under: uncultured Clostridium sp.
Lineage: Bacteria; Bacillati; Bacillota; Clostridia; Eubacteriales; Clostridiaceae
Description: bacterial SSU rRNA
Rfam family: Bacterial small subunit ribosomal RNA
Source: RNAcentral